GGCUGCACCCAUGGCACAUGGAAGUUCUCAGGCUAGGGGUCAGACUGGAGCUGAAGCUGCCAGCCUAUGCCACAGCCACAGCAACACCAGAACUGAGCCAUGUUUGCAACCUACAUCACAGCUCACAGCAAUGCCAGAUCCAUAGCCCUCUGAGAAGGACCAGGGGUUGAACCAGCAUCCUCAUGGAUACUAGUUGGGUUCAUUACUGCUGAGCCACAACAGAAACUCCAUUACCAUGUUAUUUGUGUUGGGACUCCUCCACCCAUAUAACCUUGGCUUUUAUGAAGUCACAGGGACAAUCUAUUAAAGACUAACCAGUCUGAUUUACAGAAUCCAAGGAAACCUACUGAUCUCAUGGUAUACAAUGGAAUUAUGAUAAAUAUGAUGUAACAUUCCAUGCUGAGCUCUCAAGAGUUUCAAAAAAACUUUAUAUAUUCUCUUUCCCUAUUGAAACAGUUUUUACUUUGUCACCCCAUUUAGCCUUCUCAUCAUUAACAAGAAUGCCAAGGGGAAGGGAGAGGGAAUUAGGGGUUAGUAGAUGCAAACUAUUACAUUUAGAAUGGAUAAACAAGGUCCUACUGUUUAGCACAGGGAACUAUAUCUAAUCUCCUGAGACAGAUCAUGAUGAAAAACAAUAUAAAAAAGAAUGUGUAUGUAUGUAUGACUGAGUCACUUUGCUUUUUUUGCCAUUUUGUAUUUUUUUUUUUGUCUUUUUGCCUUUUCUAGGGCCACUCCCAUGGCAUAUGGAGGUUCCCAGGCUAGGGGUCAGAUCGGAGCUGUAGCAGCUGGCCUAUGCCAGAGCCAGAGUAAGGUGGUGUCCGAGCCGCAUCUGCAACCUACACUACAGCUCACGGCAAUGCUGGAUCCUUAACUCACUAAGCAAGGCCAGGAACCAAACCCACAACUUCAUGGUUCCUAGUCAGAUUUGUUAACCACUGCGCCACAACGGGAACUCCCUGUAUUGUUUUUUACAAUAGCAGAAAUUGGCACAAUGUAAAUCAACUAUACUUUACUAUUAAAAAAGAAAAAACAAUCUUGGAAAAUUUAUUGAGAUGACAUUAUAUUUCUAUUGGAAUCUCAUUUUAUUUUACUGAAUGUAUUUAUUCAGUCAUUUAAUGGAUUAAAGUUAUUCAUAAAGGUUAAAAAAAAGAAUGAGGAAGAAACCUGCAAGUAAGAUCUUAAUUUGCAAUUUGGAGGUGAUUAUCUUUGGUAGUCCCAUCUGCUGAGGACCUGCAUAUGGUGACCUCUAAUAAUUCUAUCCAAUACACACUUAAGUGCUGAAGGACUCCAGUACUGGGGCCCAGGGAUACCAUUCAGGUCAUGUAUGUUUUGCCUACUAUCUAGCACCAACAAUUACACUGAAAACGAAGAAUACAUUGUUAUUCCAUAGAAGAUACAUUGAAUAUAAAGAAUAUAGAUUUUUAAUGAGAUUUCAGGAUGUUUAAGGACAAGUAGUAAUUGAUAUUAUCUGUAGAGUAAAGGGCAAAGACUGAGGGCAUUAUUUAGAGUGUAAGAAUGGAGAGAAAUUUAGGCCAGAGUAAUAAGAGGAUGUGAAUUAUCUACUGUAAGAUCAUUGCCUGUGGCCUGGGAACAUAAGAUUGCUCAACUUAAUCAGUUUGUAGAGUCUCAUUUUUAAAGUCUUUUCAAUAAUUCUACUAAAGGCUGAGGCUUAGAUAUUUUGGUUUAUUACUCAAUAUUUGAAGAUAACUCAGGUGUACACUAACUUUUCCAAGUUAUUGAGGAGCAACAGAGUGAGGCAGAAAUCAAGAUAAUGUUCUUAUCAAUUUUAUCAACAAGAGUAGAAGCAGCAGUGGCAGCAACAAGCAAACUUUUUUUGUGUGUUAGGCACUGAGGAUGAAGAGAAGCAUAUACCUCAGCCCCUUAAUGGGUGUACGGUUAAUUUCUAAAUAUCUUUUGUAAAAGGAAGUAUUUGAAUAAAUGAGGUGCAAAACAACAACAAAAAAUUACUAUCUACUUGUUAAUGGUAUUUUUAAAACUUUUACGUACUACUGAGUUCUUAGUAUUUUUCUGCAUUUAAAAUUACAUUCCUAAGUGUGCCUCUGAAAAAUAAAACAAGCUUCUGUAUGUAGUAGCUCAACCCAGCUUCUUUUUGGAUUUUUAAUUUUCUUAAAUUUAGAGUCUAAUAAUUAAAAAACAACCAAAAGGUUUUUCACCUUUUAAAGCCAAAUUUGUUAUGAGUUUGAGCCACUAGGUACUAAUUCUUAUCAAUUACUUAAAAGAGGAAAUAGGUCACUUAAUGUAACUAAGCAAAAUUCAAGGAGAAAUUUAGAUAUCUGUAAUAAACAGAAUCAUUCUAGGCAUGGGAUGUUAGUAUAGCUACUGUUAAACUUAUGGAGAAGUCUAGUAUAAAGUCAUACCAAGAAGUACAUUUAAAAGUUUUAUAGGAUAUAUGUAGUAUGGAAAGUAGCUACAAAAUCAUAUGUAUGAUAUGAUCUCAAUUUUGUUGGGCUAUAAGAUAUAUUUAUGAAGAGAUAUACAUUGAAAUGUAAAGUUAGUGGUAGGCUUACAGAUGGCCAUUAUAAAUUCUCUAAUUUUUUACUUUCCAAAAUUCACACAAUAAACAAUUAUUAUGCUAAAAGCCAUUAAAGAUAAAAUUGUUCAUUAUGGGGGCAUGUGGGGUGAUUAGCAGAUACAUGAUUUAGGGAAAUUUUGGUAAGAAUUUAAACAGUGUGCAGUAGCCUUUCUAUGUUCAUUGUGAAAUAUGUCACUAGUAGUACAUGGGAAUUUUCAGCCAUAGUUGCACUUCCAAAUCAUAAUCUAAUAGGGUCAUAAACAAAGAAUAAUAGCAAGUAGAUUAUUAUAGAAACAUCAUUAAGAAUAUAAGUAUCAGCAAGCAAUUUGAUAGGAAUUAAAACUUAACGUUUUUUAAAGCUAUGACAUAUAUAUGUAGGUGAUGAUGCAUUUAGUUAUAACUGAUAGUGUCUUUUCAUUUUAAAAUUUAGAAACAGAUAAUGUGAACAUCAUAUAACUAUAUAAGCAACAUUUACCACUUAUUUCUUGUCAUGGGUUACUAGCGUAAUUAUAGAAUAGGUUUAUUUCACUUUGUCAAAAGAUGAACAUGCUAUGAAAAUAAAAACAAGUAUUUAAAAACUCUAAGACAGAUCAACAAAGUACAAAUAAAGCAUGCACUACUAUCUGUAGCAACUUCCUAAAUUGCUACUUACUCAUCCAUCUUUAGCUGGUGAUGAUUGUGCUAGGUGAAUGGUGACAAAUGAGUGGCUUCAGAGACUACUAUAAGCAAAAUGGUGAAACUGUUAUGGGUUUAACAUGUAUUUGCAAGCAUGAUUUGAGAUAAUUCAAAAAUUAUUGCUCCUAUGAAGUAUGUGAGUUAUGAGAAAUAUGUCUAAUAUUUUGAUGUGGUUGGAUGAUCAAUAAAAUAUUGUAGGUUGAGAGAGAGAGUUGGAACAUUAACUUACUGUUCAUAAUUUCAAAAACUGGAGAAAAAUAUUUUAAAGAAAAAUAUCCUUUGCAAUAGAUUUUUUUUGAAGUAUGUGGGGAAAGUCUCUUCAACAUAAAUUGCUUCAAUAUAUAUGCUGAGCCUGGCAGCAGGUGGGUAUCACUUUGGGACAAAUUGCAGCCCAGUACUUGGGUGCAUAUGAGAGUAUGAACUUGUCCAGUAGUACUGACAUCCUCAGAGAGCAUGACAGAUCAAAGAAGAGAUUGUAGAAAAAAGGAAAACUUUUAAUAUCUUACUACCUUUCAUGGCACAUUUUUUUCCUGCAUUUUGAAUAAUGGGCACUAUGUUUCCAUUUUUCUCCUGGCUCUAUAAGUUAUCUAGCUAAUCCUGGUGUCAAGAAAGACAAUAUAAAGGAUCUAUUUUUUAUGAUUGUAAACAGAGCAUAGUCAAAUUUAGUCUUAUUUGGGACCAUGAUUUUACCCUGAAAAUUGAAAUUGGAAGGAAGAAAAACAAGAUGACUUCUGAAAGGGUAGGAAAAUCUCCAUGCAACUACAUAGGAUAAAAGGUAAAAGAAAAAAAGAGAGAGAGAGAGAGAUGAAUUGGAACAGAGCCUGGGCCCCAGAGAUGUAGCUGUGAAGGAGGAAAUUUUCUGCAUCCUGGAAAUUCCACUCACAGGCAGGUAGCUCAUCUUGGAUGGAGGGGAAACUUUGGAUCCUAGAAGUAAGGCAUAGCAACUAGUUUGUGGAAGGCAAAACAGAGAGUGACCUACAAGAAGAUUAGCACUGCUACCUGGUGCUCCCUAGCCUGAUACUCAUCUGCUUCUGCAGGUGGGGCUGGAUGCUAAAGCUCAGGUUUUAGGGGUCAGCCUCAGGUAGAGGACCAGGGUUGGCUGCAUAGAGACAGCCUAAAGAGACUAGCCUGUGGCCACUAACGGUGUACUCAGAAGUCUGGGCCUGCCAGAGUGGCAAGGUGCCACUGUUGGGGCAGGGGGUGAAGUGUGUGAGGAGAGGGUUAAGACUGUCAUGUCAUAAGAGUUUCAUUCCCUGUAAGUACUCCUAGGUAAAAGGACAAUACCUAAGUAGCUCUUGGGCAUGGGUGUGAGCUGCUGCAGACAUGGUGGGCUGCAAAGGAGGGCAUGGGCUGCCACUGCCACUACAACACUGGUGAGCAGGCAAGUGCUAUCUCCCCAUCAGGACUUCUUGGGCCACAGGCACUACUACAAGACCUAUGAACAUGUCCCAAGCACUGCCCUUGCCAUACUGAGGGCACUCUCAAGAGCUUCUGGUCCUGUAUACCCUAUUUCAAGGGCAUAACAACCAGCACACACUGAGGAAAGAGGAAGCAAGCAUCCAAAUUAAAACCAGCCCACAAUUCCAAACAAGAUGAUGGAGUAGAAGGACUUGAGAUCACCUCCUUUCAUGAAAACACCAACAUCACAACUAAUUGCUCAACUACUAUUGACAAAAAAUACUAGAACAUACAAAAAAGAUAUUCUACAUCCAAAGACAAAGAAGAAACCACAAGGAGACAAUAGGAAAAGCAUUUUCACAAUAUAAUCAA
Molecule: long non-coding RNA, 4978 nt
Filed under: Sus scrofa (pig)
Lineage: Eukaryota; Metazoa; Chordata; Mammalia; Artiodactyla; Suidae
Description: lncRNA (ENSSSCG00035068797.1)
Source: RNAcentral